This 610-nucleotide ribosomal RNA is filed under the name uncultured bacterium. Its description in RNAcentral is "bacterial SSU rRNA". It matches the Rfam family "Bacterial small subunit ribosomal RNA", at positions 338 to 951 of the family's 1533-position model. The record is from RNAcentral.
CCUACGGGAGGCAGCAGUGAGGAAUAUUGGACAAUAGGCGCAAGCCUGAUCCAGCCAUGCCGCGUGCAGGAAGAAGCAUCUAUGGUGUGUAAACUGCUUUUGUACAGGAAGAAACACUCCCUCGUGAGGGAGCUUGACGGUACUGUAAGAAUAAGGACCGGCUAACUCCGUGCCAGCAGCCGCGGUAAUACGGAGGGUCCGAGCGUUAUCCGGAAUCAUUGGGUUUAAAGGGUCCGUAGGCGGUUUAAUAAGUCAGUGGUGAAAUCUGGUCGCUCAACGAUCAAACGGCCAUUGAUACUGUUAGACUUGAAUUAUAAGGAAGUAACUAGAAUAUGUAGUGUAGCGGUGAAAUGCUUAGAUAUUACAUGGAAUACCAAUUGCGAAGGCAGGUUACUACUUAUGGAUUGACGCUGAUGGACGAAAGCGUGGGGAGCGAACAGGAUUAGAUACCCUGGUAGUCCACGCCGUAAACGAUGGAUACUAGCUGUUCGGAGCAAUCUGAGUGGCUAAGCGAAAGUGAUAAGUAUCCCACCUGGGGAGUACGUUCGCAAGAAUGAAACUCAAAUGAAUUGACGGCGNGAGAGAGCGACGACGACGACGAGGGAGGAGG